GUAGUCGGAUUCACAUCAAUCCAUAUGUGUUGAGAUGGAUUGGAGUUGAACAUGAACUAAAUUCCACCUCAAUCCAUACCAACACACGUGGAUUGAAAUGAAUCCGAUA
Molecule: microRNA precursor, 109 nt
Organism: Sorghum bicolor (sorghum)
Lineage: Eukaryota; Viridiplantae; Streptophyta; Magnoliopsida; Poales; Poaceae
Rfam family: MIR5565 microRNA precursor family
Source: Rfam